UACGAAGGGUGCAAGCGUUACUCGGAAUUACUGGGCGUAAAGCGUGCGUAGGUGGUUCGUUAAGUCCGAUGUGAAAGCCCUGGGCUCAACCUGGGAAUGGCAUUGGAUACUGGCGGGCUAGAGUGCGGUAGAGGGCAGUGGAAUUCCCGGUGUAGCAGUGAAAUGCGUAGAGAUCGGGAGGAACAUCUGUGGCGAAGGCGAGUCUCUGGACGACUCCUGACACUGAGGCACGAAAGCUGGGGGAGCAAACAGG
This 253-nucleotide ribosomal RNA is filed under the name uncultured bacterium. RNAcentral's name for it is "partial 16S ribosomal RNA". It matches the Rfam family "Bacterial small subunit ribosomal RNA", at positions 524 to 776 of the family's 1533-position model. The record is from RNAcentral.